GACGAACGCUGGCGGCGUGCUUAACACAUGCAAGUCGAACGGAAAGGCCCUGCUUUUGUUGGUUGCUCGAGUGGCGAACGGGUGAGUAACACGUGAGUAACCUGCCCUUGACGUUUGGAUAACUUCAAGAAACUGGGGUUAAUACCGGAUAUCAUCUCCUGCUGCAUGGGGGGGGUUGGAUAGUUUCGGCGUUUGGGGAUGGACUCGCGGCUUAUCAGCUUGUUGGUGGGGUAGUGGCUUACCAAGGCUUUGACGGGUGGCCGGCCUGAGAGGGUGACCGGCCACAUGGGGACUGAGAUACGGCCCAGACUCCUACGGGAGGCAGCAGUGGGGAAUAUUGCACAAUGGGCGGAAGCCUGAUGCAGCAACGCCGCGUGCGGGAUGACGGCCUUCGGGUUGUAAACCGCUUUCGCCGGUGACGAAGCGUGAGUGACGGUAAUGGGUAAAGAAGCACCGGCUAACUACGUG
This 468-nucleotide ribosomal RNA is filed under the name uncultured bacterium. RNAcentral's name for it is "partial 16S ribosomal RNA". It matches the Rfam family "Bacterial small subunit ribosomal RNA", at positions 28 to 507 of the family's 1533-position model. The record is from RNAcentral.